Molecule: ribosomal RNA, 301 nt
Filed under: uncultured bacterium
Lineage: Bacteria
Description: partial 16S ribosomal RNA
Rfam family: Bacterial small subunit ribosomal RNA
Source: RNAcentral
CAGUAGCCACGGGAACACGGAGGGUGCAAGCGUUAUCCGGAUUUAUUGGGUUUAAAGGGUCCGUAGGCGGACUUAUAAGUCAGUGGUGAAAGCCUGUCGCUUAACGAUAGAACUGCCAUUGAUACUGUAAGUCUUGAGUAUAUUUGAGGUAGCUGGAAUAAGUAGUGUAGCGGUGAAAUGCAUAGAUAUUACUUAGAACACUAAUUGCGAAGGCAGGUUACCAAGAUAUAACUGACGCUGAGGGACGAAAGCGUGGGUAGCGAACAGGAUUAGAUACCCCAGUAGUCCCUGUCUCUUAUAC